This 933-nucleotide long non-coding RNA is filed under the name Homo sapiens (human). RNAcentral describes it as "HSALNT0298548". The record is from RNAcentral. Lineage: Eukaryota; Metazoa; Chordata; Mammalia; Primates; Hominidae.
GGGGUUGUAUGUUGGAGGAGGGAAUAUGUAGGAAAUCAGGGUGACAUUUAAAGCUGAGGGUGCAUAGUGUCCCCCACCAGUGUUUCAGGGAGAAAUUUGAACUCGCAUUUGCACACAAACAGCAGGAUUUUAAGAGAGCCCAGGUGAAGGCGUCACCCUCAGAAUGGAAGGGGUGGGGAGAAGGGCCGGGGUGCAGUCUCAGGGAGGAGGUACCCUUAGCUGCAGAAUCACCGUCCUGCACGUGUGUACCUCUGCAAUGUGGUCAAAUAGAACGGCUGUGGACGCGACACCACCCAUUUGCCUUUUAAGUUAGCAAGCCCAAAGUAUGCUUUAAUGUUUACUUUUUAAGAUUUUUAGAAAAGGUAGAAGACGACUCUAUUUCCUAAUAUGGACACAGUGAAAAGAUGGCCAUCUCUGAACCAGGGAGAGGAUCCUCACCAGACACCAAAUCUGAUGUCUUGAUCUUGGACUUCUUAGCCUUCAAAAUGACCCCAGAAAUGCCAAUGAUCCAGCUUCAGUGAUGCAAAUGAAGACCUCAGGGAUCAACAGAGCAAUGAGAGAAGGAACCUAGGUCCCUGAAUGACUCUGGAGCAGAGAUGCCCCAGACAUCUUACCAUGCCCCUUACCUCGAAUGGUAGAAGGUAUUCAUAGAAAUAGCUGUGGAAUGGCAGAAAAACCAUUAGGAAGAAGUUGAACUGCCUUAACUUCAAGUCUGAGGCUUUCAUUAGCUGGGUGGUCUCCAAAAACUGGACUGACCUCUUUGGCCUUCACCAUCCUCACCCAUGAUGAAGGAGAUGAGGACGCAGACACAACAGAGGAAAGACCAUGUGAUCACACAGAGAAGAUGGUAGUCUACAAGCAAUGUACAGGGACCUCAGAAGGAACCAACCCUGCUGGCACCUUGAUCUUGGACCUCUAGCCUCCAGGACUGUG